This 72-nucleotide transfer RNA is filed under the name Dehalococcoidales bacterium. Its description in RNAcentral is "tRNA-Ile". It matches the Rfam family "tRNA". From Rfam's summary of the family: Transfer RNA (tRNA) molecules are approximately 80 nucleotides in length. Their secondary structure includes four short double-helical elements and three loops (D, anti-codon, and T loops). Further hydrogen bonds mediate the characteristic L-shaped molecular structure. tRNAs have two regions of fundamental functional importance: the anti-codon, which is responsible for specific mRNA codon recognition, and the 3' end, to which the tRNAs corresponding amino acid is attached (by aminoacyl-tRNA synthetases). tRNAs cope with the degeneracy of the genetic code in two manners: having more than one tRNA (with a specific anti-codon) for a particular amino acid; and 'wobble' base-pairing, i.e. permitting non-standard base-pairing at the 3rd anti-codon position. The record is from RNAcentral. Lineage: Bacteria; Bacillati; Chloroflexota; Dehalococcoidia; Dehalococcoidales.
GGGCCCGUAGCUCAGUGGCAGAGCGGUCGGCUCAUAACCGAUUGGUCGUAGGUUCGAAACCUACCGGGCCCA